GGAUGGUGGGAGUGUUCAGAAAAACCUGUUCAAAAAGUCUGUAUAAAGAAUUUUCAAAUUGCAGAGAUAUUAUUUUUAAUGAUAAUGGUUCAAAGAUGGAAUAUUAUAAAGCCACAUGUGAGAAUAAUGUAGUAAACACUCAAAAAAUGAACAAGGAAGGUUGUGGACUUUACAUUAUAUAUUUAUAUUCAGUUUACUUAUAAUAAUUAUAUUUGUUGACUUGAAAAGUUUUUUUCUAUUAAGGUCUACGUAAUUAUGUCUUAAAUUAACUGUACAGAGGGUGGCAGUAUAGUGCGACGCGAACUGCCAUAACCUCAAAUAAGAAGAAGAAGAGCAUGACUUGCCAGACUACACAUGCACAAAGAUAAUUCACUGCAAUUCUCUAAACUUGCUUGACCCUUGCAAAGUUUUUCCUCGAUUGGUUUUGACAGAACGUCUUACCUUUUCAACGGCUGGUAAAGGUCCUUAAUAAAAGGUGUGUUUUGUGUUCCUGCCAAGGUGCUUCACUCAUAAUAGGAGACGGGAGGUAGUCAGAGACCAACCCAUGAUAGAUUAGAUGGCCAGGACUGUUCACUGUGCCUGAGGUGGAAGCAGAAUUUCUGCAGUUUACCACUGUUCCCCUCGUCACAAAAUUUUUUGCACAACUUGACCACCACGCUGAUCAGCUCAUCAGAUUGCUGAAGAGUGGAUCUAAAGGAAGGCAAAUUGACCUGAUCUUUGCACCGACUGCACGGAAUGAAACCGCUGAAAAGAAGCGGGAGUGUUUCCUCCCGGCACUUUGUAUCUAUCUAAAUGAAAAUCCGAGCAGUCUCUUCUAAGAGUAUAUGUAUUCAGAUGGCUGAGCUGCCCAGAGGGAGCUUGAUGAACUUGUCUUUGGCAUCUACAGCAUUAAUGCUGAGGGAGGUGAUGCCACCAGCACUCCAUUUGAUGUUGGAAUAGGAAUUGAGGGUGUUGAAGUGCUUCAUGACUUGGAAGACAUAGCUUCUGCAUGUGCAUAUGCAAUGAACCUCAGCUAUCCUCAGGAACUGAAAAUGUUCUUUGAGGUGCUUCAGAAAAUCUUCCUCCCACUGGAUGCUUCCAGACUCUCACCCAUGGUACAGAUGCUUAAAAACACUGUAUGAGUGAACCAACAUUGAAUGUUUGGCGUUUGAAGGCCUGAUUUGCACUGGAAACCAUUUAAUUGAAAAACUUAAGCUUAUAAAACUUUUCUCUUUUUUUGUGAGGCGCACCACUGUUCUGGGUGACAUGUUUCUUUGUCAUGUAAAGCGUGUCAAGAAUUUUUUUCACAGCAUUAAUGCUGAGGUUGGUCAUACUGCCACCACGCCAGUUUACAGUGUUAGAAAAGUGAUUGAGGGUGUUGAUGUGCAUCACGACUUGAAAGUUAAUUUACCUUUUUAUAUUUUAUUGUGUGUGUGUGUGUGUGUGUGUGUGUGUGUGUGUAGCACACACCAGUGUUCUGGGUGACAUGUUUCUCUGUCAUGUAUGUACUUAAAGCAACACUAUGUAGUUUCCAUGUAAAAUGACUUACAGCUCCCCCAUGUGGUUGAAAAGCGCAACAGUGCCUGGUAUCAGACACUCUUCUGCAGGCAGGGGGAGGGGCGGGGCUGUGUGCUCUACCCUCCACCGCCACUUUCAGAGUGUGCUUUUAGCAGCUAGGAGGUUGCUCAGGUUGCAGCAACAGUACAAUUUGUCCAGUUAAAAGUUGUUCCAUCACUGAAAUAAUUUUAGAGACAUUAUUUAAAUGUAAAAAAAACUACAUAGUGUUGCUUUAAACAAUGAGUGAACCAACAUUGAGCACUUAAAAGUUUGUGGCGUUUAACAUAAAGGCCUGCUUUACACUUAAAACCAUUUAAUAGAAAAACACUUAACAGAUUGUAUUCUAUUUAUCUUUAUUUGUCUGCAACUUCUAAACAAAUUUUGUUAGUCCAUAAAACAUAACUGAUUUUAGGUAAUUGAACUUAAAUGUCUUUUGUUGGGUGAAAAUUAGUGAUAAUAGUUGGCUAAACUUAAAGAAAUUACUUGUCCCUAAAACAACCCUAUUACAUUGAACAACCUUACAAUAUUUGUUUUCAACUUAAUUAAAUUAUGUGGAACCUGUUGACAAGAAAAAAUAAAUUAAAGUCAACGUUUUAGGAAGUAAUUUGUCAAUCAUCGAGUUGACAGAGUAAAGCACGCCCCUUUUGAUCCAGUGCUGAGGCGGCUUGCUGGUACUUAAGUAAGGCUGAACCCUGACCUCCCGCCGUCUACCUUUAUGCUUGGGAUAGGAGGUAAAGCUUCGUACCUCUUCAGAGCAUCUGCCCCAUGAGGUUUAAAAGCCUCCGAUGAGGUGGGCAUUUUGAAUGACGACUGGAAGAAAUUAUUCAGAUAGAUAUAUUACACUGUGCGUCAAAAUCGAGCCUAUGUAGGCUCAAUGUUUAUGUUGGCACGCAAAUGGGUAACAAACUCCGAGCCAAAUAUGUUUGUUCAUACCAAAAUAGGUUUUGACGAGUUGUUACAAACGAGGUUGCAUUGUUACCUGUUCUCGUAGCUGUUAAUUUGCUCUAUAUGACAUCUGUUACCGCGAGAGAAAUUUGCAGUUUUGCAUUUUCUGAAAACACUUU
Non-coding RNA from Misgurnus anguillicaudatus (oriental weatherfish), 2600 nucleotides. Lineage: Eukaryota; Metazoa; Chordata; Actinopteri; Cypriniformes; Cobitidae. The record is from RefSeq and is a predicted model, not a curated record.